AGCAGUCGCCGCGGUAAUACGUAGGUCCCGAGCGUUGUCCGGAUUUAUUGGGCGUAAAGGGAGCGCAGGCGGUUUAGUAAGUCUGAAGUUAAAGGCAUUGGCUCAACCAAUGUAUGCUUUGGAAACUGUUAGACUUGAGUGCAGAAGGGGAGAGUGGAAUUCCAUGUGUAGCGGUGAAAUGCGUAGAUAUAUGGAGGAGCACCGGUGGCGAAAGCGGCUCUCUGGUCUGUCACUGACGCUGAGGCUCGAAAGCGUGGGUAGCGAACAGGAUUAGAUACCCCUGUAGUCCCUGUCUCUUAUACA
This 303-nucleotide ribosomal RNA is filed under the name uncultured bacterium. RNAcentral's name for it is "partial 16S ribosomal RNA". It matches the Rfam family "Bacterial small subunit ribosomal RNA", at positions 507 to 808 of the family's 1533-position model. The record is from RNAcentral.